GAGAAAGGUGACUGCUGGGCCUGGACAAGUCUGCUGUCACUUUCAAAUCCUAGAAAUGAAGAUAUGAAGGCUGUCACUUUAUAUGUGGGAAUGUUACAGCAGUGUCCUUAGCAAAAGCUAUGUCAUCAAUCAUGCUGGACAUACUCAACCAUGAGGGAGGAGGAGGAUGGGAAUGUGAGGCAUGGGAAAUGAAUGAAAAUGGAGAUAAAGGUUCAAUAUCAAAUUGAAACAGUGAAAUGUGUCCAACUGGUUCUUCAAGCAAAGAAAGCCUAAGGGAAUAUGCAGGACCUAAGUGUGAAACCAGCAAAGAUGAGAUCAGAGGCAUUGGCAGGCACCUCCAGUGGGAAGUGCUAUGCACCAAGUCCAGGGCUAGAGAGGCGCUGGCCCAUCCAGCCAGAUGGAUGAUGUCCAGGAUCAUCAUAUGCCUCUCGAGGGCUCAUGAGCAGCUACCACGAAUGCCCCUGCCUCCAUUUCGAUGUCUUACCAUGCUGCACACCUGUCAGUGUCUGAAACAUCUGCUGCCUCUCUUGCCCACCAACUAAGUGCUUCUGCAUUGCACUAGGAGUCUUCAAAAGUUCACAGAAGCUGCAUGUGAUUAAAAAAAUGCAUAGAUUUUAAUUGAUUUGCACCAAAAUAAGGUACCUUUUCAUUCUUUUUUCCAUGAAUAUUUCGGAGUCUCUGUACUUUGUUUCUUCUUUAUAGCACAUGUUGUAACCUCAAAUAUGUGCAUGGUACCCUAAAUAAAUGGGGAUAAUAAGUGUAAAAAAGUGGGAGUCCUUAAGAUCCUGGUGAGAUUCUGACCUCCUUAUCUAACAGUUAGCCACAACUCAGCUUUGUGCAUACUGCAGGUCAGAAAUUGAGCCCCAUCUGGUGUGUAUGUAAGAAACAUCUUGCCUUUAAAAAAAUAUUGGUAGAUAAUUCAAAUGUUUUUGAACAUGGGUUUGGCUAGAUAGAAAUCUACCUGAAGAUUAUAUCUGGUCCUUGUCCCAGUUUAUGAGCCCUACCCUAUAAGCACUCAUAAAUGGUGAGUCAGAAUAUAAUGUCUCCACUAAUAAUUUUUUUUUUAUUUUUUUUUUUGACAGGCAGAGUGGACAGUGAGAGAGAGAGAGACAGAGAGAAAGGUCUUCCUUUGCCGUUGGUUCACCCUCCAAUGGCCGCCGCGGCCAGCGCGCUGCGGCCAGCGCACCGCGCUGAUCCGGUGGCAGGAGCCAGGAGCCAGGUGCUUUUCCUGGUCUCCCAUGGGGUGCAGGGCCCAAGCACCUGGGCCAUCCUCCACUGCACUCCCUGGCCAUAGCAGAGGGCUGGCCUGGAAGAGGGGCAACCGGGACAGAAUCCGGCGCCCCGACCGGGACUAGAACCCGGUGUGCCGGCGCCGCUAGGCGGAGGAUUAGCCUAGUGAGCCGCGGCGCCGGCCCUCCACUAAUAAUUUUAAAUCCACUGAGAAUGUGUUCAUUUUUUUUAAACCUUAGAGUACUUUUUAUGGAAUUGAUGCCCUAUGUUUUUUUGUUGCAUUUUAGAAAAUUUUGAGGAUGAGGAGUGAGAGGAGUUGAGAAAAACAAGUUAGGCUGGGAUGAGUGUGUUGUUGAGAUUGUUAGUCAAGAUCAUUUUUGUAAACUAUUUCAUUUUGAUGUUUUAUUAAUCACUACGAGUGAAUUUAAAUAUUUUAAUGAUUGAUAUAUUUUGUUCGUUGCAUGCCCUGGGGCUUUUAAAAAGAAAUGACAUUUUAGAAAAAACUAAAAUAGAACCCCUAUCAAUCAUCAUUUAAACUGUUUUCACUAAGGUGCUUACUGCACUUUGGAUCUGGGCCAGUGUGGCAUUUGGGGACUUGGAAAUCCAAAUUUACCUCCUUGGUGGGUUUUGACUGUGCUGAAAUCAGGCUCUGUAAGUGAUUUCAUCUCAUAAUGCAGCCUCUGAAAUUUUCCUAUAAAACAAUUCUGUUUGAAUGUGAAUAUCCAUACUUCCAACAAAGCUUGGAGGAAGAAAACAAUUUAUUACCACCCCAUUUAAGUCUCACUUUUUUAACUAUUAAAAUAUCUUUUCCUGGAAAAGAUUGUAACUUAUAGGUUAUGUCUCUGUGGGGAGCCUCUACUGGAUAAAAGUUCAGAGCUCCUUAUGACUAUGAAAUAUUUUAUAAAAAUGGAGGUAAGGAAACGAGUUUAUCACCAAACCUGAGGAUACUAUAACAGUGAAUAGUUUUUUAUUUUAUUUUUGCUUGUUCAUUAGUUUUAGUGGCAAGAGUGUUUAUUCUUGUGCCAGGAUAUUAAAGUGAUCACUUGGGAAGACAUAGUUUUCUUGCUUUGCUGCUUCCCUUUUCUUUUUUAAUUUUGCUUCAUGUUUAUUUAUUUGAGAGGGAGGGAGAAGUGGGAGAGAGAGAGACAGAGCUCUCUUAUCCUAGACGGAGAGACAGACCUAGCGUCCACCCACUCAUCUUCCCAUUGACUUCCUGAAACACUUGAAGUGUCCAGGGCUGGGCCAGGCCAGCAGUCAGGAGCCAGAAACACAAUCCAGGUCUUCCACCUGGGCAGCAGGAACCUGAUUGCUUCAGUCAUUACUGCUGCCUCCAGGGUCUGCAUUAGCAGAAAGAUGGAAUUGAAGGCUGGAUGGAGUCUGGAAUUGAGCCCAGUUACUCCAGUAUGGGAGUAACUACUGGAACUCCUCUCUGUCUUUGUUUCCCAUGCAGUGAUGGGGAAUAUUUUGCAGCCAGGGGCCACUUGGAUAUUUAUCACAUUGUGUGCGGGCCAUAAAAAAUUAUAAACUUACAAAUUAGCCUGCUAUAGAUUUAUUGAAUUUUGAGUCCAGCCUGUGGUUGCCUUGGCAGGGCCAGACCAAAUGAUAUUGUAGGUCUGAUAUGGCCCACGGGCCGGAUGUUUCCUACCCCUGUAAGGAUCGUUCUCAGGUGGAAGCUGAACCAGAAUCCUUGCUCGUUUUUGUGCCUGGAGUUUCUGCCUAGUGGCUCACCUUCACAGAGUUCCAGCACGACAUUUUUGUCCCUUUCCUGCCUGCAGUUCAUCCAGGACCUGCCCAGUGACCACACGAGAGAGACCAUUGUCUAUAACUGUCCCUGCAAAUCCUGUCAUCUCACUGGUCCUAUCUGUUGUUACCCUCACUGCUGCAAACUUGCCUUUCUCAGUGCCAGUGUUUGUUAAUUUCUCCCUCUCUGGGCUGCUACCUAAUUCUGUAAGUCAUUAGCAGGCAGGGUGUGGAGCCUGUGUGUCAUGUCACAGAAUUGUGAUUUUUUUUUCAUCCCCUCCCACUCAACCAUUCUGAAUUGUCACUUUUCAGCCAAUUCUUAGACAUGAAGUUUAAAAAAAUACAUAAAUAGCUUUGUGACUCACCUGAGGGAAUCUGUGACCUUUUAUUUUCAUUGUUUUCACUCCCCUCCAUCCUCAGUUGGAAAUCAACAGUCUGCAUUUUAAAACAAAACUCAUUGCUCCACUCUACUAAAGGUGAAGUGGAGUAGGAAGGAUUUUAAAAGACUCCACAGGGAAAAGUUUGGGAGGGAAAUGAAUAGGGAGAAAAAAAAUGUAAACCUGCAUUUUUAAAGGAUUUACAGAUAUCCCUUCGUGAGCAAUUCAAGAAUAAAGUCAUUCCCUGACCCAACUUUUGCCAGAGAGAUACACACCCACAAUAUUCUGCAUCCAUGAAGGCAGAGCCCUGUGUUAUGGUUUGGACACGCUUGUCCCAUAGGAUUCAGGGACUGGGAGCGUGGUGUGUGGGAGUAUGGUGAUGCUGAGAGGUGGUGGAAUGUUUAAAAGGUGGGUACUCCUGGCAAUUAGCACAUUGGAGGUGUAGCUGCUGGAAGUUCUUGUGGAGUGAAUUAUCUCUUGUGACAGUGGGCUUUUAUAAAACAAGGCCACUCAAUGCCUUUGACUUCCUUCUACAUGUAACUGGUUCUACAUCUCUGCUAUGUUGUGGUGUAGCCAAGGAGGCCCUUGUCAUUCGCCAAACCACUGGGGCCAUCUGAUCUUGAAUUUUUGGCCUCCAAAAAUGUAAUUUAAAUUAGUGUUUUAUUUAUUUAAUUUUAUAAAGUAUCAACCUUCAGUCAUUUUGUUAUAGCAACAAAAAUCACACUAAUACAGCUUGAAUCCUGAUCUAGGGAUCUAUGAAACUGAUACAGCUUAAUUUUCUGGCAUACCUAAUCCCUGAGUGUGGGGAGGUUCUACCAAUAUAUUUGCAAUGUUAUGUGCUCUGAAAAUUUGCAAAAGCAAGACAUUUUUAAAGAUUUAUUGAUUUUAAAGUCAGAGGCACAGUAGAAGAGGGAGAGGGAGUAAGGGAGAGAGAAAGAGAUCUUCCAUUUACUGGCAUACUCCCAAAAUGUCUGCCAACACCUGGGGCUGGGCUAUGCCAAAGCCAGGAGCCAGGAACUCCAGCCAAGUAUCCCAUGUGGUGGCAGCAACCCAAGUACCUGGGACACUGCUGCCUCCUGGCAUAGGAGCAGGAAGCUGGAUUGGGAAUGGAGGCAGGACUAGAUUCCAGGCACUCUGCUAUGGGAUCCAGGUGUCCCAAGCAGCAAUUCAAGCCACCGUAUCACAAUGCCCACCCAAAAGAAAGACAUUUGUAGUGGAAGCUGGUCACUUCUUCUCCAACUUUCCUGAAGAUCCAGCAUCCUUAAUGACCCUAGCUAGGGGCAUUUUAGGGAGUUGAAUUAGUUGACUUAGUGAACUGCAUUUAUGUGAUCAUCUGUCCCUUCCAUUCAUAGUUACGCUGAGCCUUCCAGUUAGGGAUGGCUGCCAGGAACAUUCCCACACUGACUGUGCUUCCUCAAGGGCAAACCACUCAAAAGACGAUUUAAAUUAGUUAGUACACAAGAACAUGUAAAUGUUCUUAAUGUGCUUAAAGUUGUACAGCUUCAGUAGGAGAAAAGCAUGAAAGAGGUUUUUGCAUACUUGGAAAUCCUAAAACUAUGCAUGGACAUCACCAAUAUUGAAUUGUGAUGCCGAAACUUGCCUAAAGUAUUGAUAAUAAUGGCAAAUUCUGGGCAACCAAAGCGAAACGAAACAUUUGCUUGGUUUUUUUUUUUCUGUUUUCUUUACAGAUGAUUAUUAUUUUCAUAAAACUGUAUGAUAAAAAAACUGUAUGAUGAGGUGAUAAAAAUAUAAGUUGCUAAAACUGGGGAAAUGUAGAUAUGUUGCAAAGUCAAUUAAUGUAAUAUUGUGCUAUUUUCUCGAUUUUUGUAAUGCUUGUGGCAUAUUCAGCCUUUCAAAAAUUUGUAUUUAUUUGUUAUGAUUUCUUUUCUCAUUUGCUUUUGUGUCCUAAUUGUGUACUCUAAAUUUGGUGUUCUUUUACUUAAAGAGCAGCUUCAAAGUUGUAGAAGCUUCCUGCCAUUCAUUUCUUUUACCCUUAAGCUGUAACCUUUGAAUACUUGAUAGGGUUCCUGGAGGUAAAAUCAUGAAAGUGUUAGGGCGCCCUGAGACUGGGCUUCCUCAGAAUUUUUGACUUUCAACCAGUGUAUCCUGAACCGCUAGGAAUUUGUCAGUUUAGAGUGUUCUAGCACUACAGGCUUUUGCUAUGGGCUUUGUACCUAGUAAGCUCUGAUUCUCUAUAUCCACUUGUUUGUCUCCACUUUGGGGGAGGGUGAUACAGAUUUCCUUGUGGCCUCAAUCCUCUGAGAGAUGUAAGAAGAGCUGCUGAUUUUCAUUAUUUUGUUCAUAAUUUUUCUUGUUGUGAGGAUAAGCGUGAUGACUUCCAACCUCCAAAAGUGUGAGAAAAUUAAUUUCUAUUAUUUAAACCACUCUGUCUGCAGUACUCAUUUAUGGCAGCCCAGGCAGAUUAAUACACUGUCUAUUUCAGAAAAAGUACUAGAAAAUGCUGGAAUGAAGAAUUUUCAAGCUCAGAAGUGACUGACAGAUCCUAGAAUUGAAAUGAUUACUUUCUUAAAAAUUUGCAUUGUAUUAGAUGCCUACUUCCACUUGACGAGUCUUUUGAAAUAAUUAAUAUUCAAAUAUGGGUUAGAAAGAAAUGUAAGGACAUACUGCUAUAACAAAAGAGAGAAUACCGUCUCCAAACUUUUCUUAUCACAUUACUUUGCGGUGGAAGGUCCAAACUUCUGUGCUAAUGCUAAAGGAAGUAGACCACAAAGAAAUAGAAAUAAGGGAUGGAAUUUACAAAUGAAGAUUUAUCAGGACAGAAUGAGAAAUGCAGUCAGGUGUGAAGAGAUACUAUACAGACUGUUCACAGCAAAUGUUUAAGAUGGCAGAUGAUGUACUCAUGGUACUGGACAGAGCCCUGGUCAUUCCAGGACUGUGGUGAGGAGGUUCACUACUGCUGUGGUCUUUGGUGAGCUAACGCCUCCAGCUUCAAUUUCCUUGGAGCCAGAUAGAGAUGAUAACCCUGCCAUCACCACCUCACAAAAUGUUUUGGAGGACUAAGUGAAAAUGAGAUGUUGAAGGGCCCUACACUACUGGAGAGUGAGUAUUGCUGUGAGGAUAAAAAACAUAAUGCAGGUGAAACUCUAAUAGAGAGUACUCAGCCAAAGUAGACACCCUCAAAAUGGUUAUUAAAUAAAUGAUGAGCAUCAAAUGGCUUAAAUUCUGGUAUUCUGGAUUCUGAGCUUCUGGGGGCUUCAAAGAGAUGCUUGAGGGAUCUUUGAAAUGUACUUAUGACGGCAAAUGUAGGACUUCCAGGAAGAAAUAAAAAUGCAAUUCUAUGUAUACAUAUAUAUUUUUUACCAGCCAUGGUCUGUUAACAUUCCCCCUGCCCCACCCCAGGUGAGUUAUUUUCUUUGCUCAUAGAUGGGAAAUUUAAUAUAGUCAUACUUUUUCUGCUCAUUCUUAGGUAACUGACAAUCAUGAGAACAUGAGUCACAAACAUUAGCACUUUGUUUUUCUCCUGGUAAUGGAAGGCAUCCUAGCCAAGAGAGGAAUUAAUCUUCUUCAAUUUUUCAUUAAAAAUGUUUCUUUACUAUCUUUCUUUGGGCAUGUAGAUGGUUACAGCAUACCUCCAGGGUUGGUUUAUGUUUUCUUUCACUCUUUUCUCUCAUAAGAUAGCACAUUUUUUGUUAUUUGGGGCUUCUAGUUGGGACAUGGUAUUUGAGAGGAGAAACUUAAAGCAGACUUGAGUUGGGUGGGUUACUUCCAUCUCCCUGGGCUUGGCUGGUGAGUAAGUUGACUCCCUAAUGGUACCUCCAUGGCUUCCUCAGACCUUACAGUUAUUGGCAACUCAUUUUUUUUUUAAAAAAAAUGUAUUUUAUUUAUUUGAAAGACAGAGUUACAGAGAGAGGUAGAGACAGAGAGAGAGGUCUUCCACCUGCUGGAUCAUCCCCAGAUGGCCGCAACGGCCGGAGCUGGGCUGAUCCGAAGCCAGGGGCCAGGAGCUUCUUCCUGGUCUUCCAUGUGGGUGCAGAGGCCCAAGGACUUGGGCCAUCCUCUAUUGCUAUCCCAGGCCAUAGCAAAGAGCUGGAUCGGAAGAGGAACAGCUGAGACUAGAACCAGUACCCAUAUGGGAUGCCAGAGCUUCAGGCCAGGACUUUAACCCGUUGCGCCACAGCGCCAGCCCCAAUGUGGCCACUCCUAAAAUAUCUGAGGGUAUUGGAUCUCUCAGGCUGUCACGUGUACUACAGGACCUCAUUCUUGGUGGUUUACCUCAAUUGCUAUUCUCUUUUGCUCUUAUUGAAAACUUCUGGCAAGAUAUUAAGGCCUAUGGCCCACAUCUCUUUCCUUUCGGUAGUUCACAUUUGGACUAAUGACAGCUCUUAUAAAUUUUUUUUGCUCAAAAGAUUAAGGGGUAGGUGUGUUCCAAUAAAGCCACUUUAACUUACGGCUUUGGGAUAGUUAUCAAUUUAUCAGAAUUGCAGGGAACACAGAAAGCACUUGGAAACUCCAUUUUACUGUGCUUGUGUUAAAUGUUAGCAUCCCUCUCUCCAGCACUGAGGUCUUCUCACCACCCCACCUUUGUAGGGAUGACUUGGCAGAUCAACAGCUCUCUCUAAAGAACCCUCAAGCAUCCUCUUCUUUCUCUUACCCCCUUUAUAUCCUUGAUCCUUCUGAAGAGUUCAAGAUUCAAGGAACCAUGUCUCAAAAUCCCAUACAAAUUUCACACAAGGCAAUCAUCUCACAUUCGCAUUGGUAUCUGGUAUCUCUCACAGUGACACUUGAGUUGAAAUCAGUAUUUCCAACCCAGUACAAAAACAACAAAUGAUGUUCCAUCAAACAAAGUAUAUUAAAUCCCUGAAAGGGGACUGUUCAUUGUUUGUAAAUUUAAUGUACUUUGAUUCAGCAAAGAUUUCAUCUGCAAAGAAAUCAACUGCUAAGCAGAAUGAAGAAUUAUUGUGUUAGCAAAAUCAUGUUGUUCAGGAAUUUCUCCAUGUUUCUGAGGGCAUCUAACACAAGGUGAUUGUCUUGUGUGAAAAAUAUUGAACUAGUUCCUGACAGGUGCUGCUAUCAUCAUGACCUCGAGUAAAAUCGAUUUUAAGGUAACCAAAAGAUUAAGUAGGAGUCCCUUAGACCUUCAAAUAUAGGCAAAAUUUGCCAUCAUUUUGGAUUCUGUACUCUCCCCCAAUCCCCUCAUCUCAUUCUUUUUUUUUUUUUUUUUGACAGGUAGAGUUAUAGACAGCGAGAGAGAAACAGAGAGAAAGGUCUUCCUUCCGUUGGUUCACUCCCCAAUGGCUGCCACGGCCGGUGCUAUGCCGAUCCGAAGCCAGGAGCCAGGUGCUUUUCCUGGUCUCCCAUGUGGGUGCAGGGGCCCAAGCACUUGGGCCAUCCUCCGCUGCUCUCCCAGGCCACAGCAAAGAGCUGGACUGGAAGAGGAGCAACCAGGACUAGUACCCGGCGCCCCAACCGGACUAGAAUCCGGGGUGCCAGCGCUGCAGGUGGAAGAUUAGCCGAGUGAGCCACAGCACUGCCCCCCCCCAUCUCAUUCUUAAUCAUUUCAUUUGUGUGGGGUUGGUGUUGUGGCACAGUUGGUUAAGCCACUGCCUGCAGUUCCAGUAUCCCAUAUGGGGCUGGUUCGAGUCCCAGCUGCUCCACUUCUGAUCCAGCUCCCUGCUAAUGCACCUGGGAAAGCAGCCUAAGAUGGCCUAAGUCCUUGAGUGUCUGUGACCAAGUAGAAGACCCAGACAGAGUUCCAGGUUCCCAGCUUCAGCCUGGACCAGCCCUGAUUGUUGCGGCCACUUGGGGAGUGAACCAACACAUGGAAGAUCUCGCUUUCUGUCUCUGCCUCUGUUUCUUGGUAAUUCUGCCUUCCAAAUAAAUAAAUAGAUCUUUUCUAAAACUUUCAUUUGCUUAGUAAUUUGGUGGACGAUAUGGGAGUGAUGAGAAGGAAAGAGGUUCUAUGGAGGGAUCAUAUUGAGAAGUGGUUUUCCGACAUUUCACAGAAUCUUCACACUUCUCUUUCUUCUUCCUCCCUCCUUCUCCAGAGUAACUAGCAAUGUGUUUCCCCUGUUUUUCUCUGAUUGAGUAUAUCCUCUCGCUUUUUUGGAAUUGUUCCUUAUACCCCCUUCACCUUUCUUUUUAAACAUUUAUUUUAUUUAUUUGAAAGGCAGUGUGAUUUCUUAAUGUCUGCAAAAGGAAAUAAUUUGCACUCAGAUUUGCAAGUAUGUUUCAGAAAUAUAUUUAUUUAAAAGAAUAAAAAUGCUUUAUUUUGAUAUAGUUGCAAAUAUUGACUUUUUAUAACUGAACAUUGUUGUCAAUAAUAAGAGUAAUGCACUAAUGGGAACACUAAUUCUAUACAAACAAUUCCAUGUGGCACUGUAAUGUACUAGAGAUUUAAUUUUUAGACAGAAAGAGACUCUGCAUUACUGGUCAUGCCAGCCUAAAUCCACACAUAAAUCUGGUUCUACACACUUAAUGAAAGGUUUUAUGUAAUUGAAAAUAGAAUAUAAAAUAAGAGAAAAAUUUCCAUAGUACUUUUUUUCUUCAAUCACUCUCUCCAGCACAGCCACAUCUGAAGCUCCUAAAAAUAUUCAUUUGCUAAGCACUGGCAGGCUUUCUCACAGGCAAGCCUACUCUCAGCAAGCUAUCUCCCUCAAAUUUUCUUCUUACUUUCUUGAUAGAAUGGACAAAAUGUUGUCUUUUUUUUUUUUAGUACUUGGCCCAAUAUUUUCUGUUUGCCAAAGGCAUCCCUGGUUUAUCAAAUGUAAGGUAAAUGCCAUCUAAUCUAUAUUAUAUAACACUAUGUUAUGAAUAUUUUUAAAAUGUUUCUUUUUCCCAUAGUUUAUCAUUUGUGUGUCUACCCUCAUUUCUACAUUAUAAAUUCCAAUAAUAGAUGCUGUGUCUUAGCCUCUCUGUUUACAAAGUGUAGAUAACAAUGUGUGUAUCACUACACUCUAAGAAAAUAACAAGGGUCAAGUGGCCAUGUAGAUUAAAAUGUGUUUUAUAAACUGCAAAAUACUCUGAAAAUGUGGAAUAUGUUAUUAUUACUACAAUGUGAAGGGUAAGUUAGGUGCAUCAAAAUUUCCCAUAAGAACUGACAUUAAUCUGUUUAGAAAAAUGAACAGAGGGUCGUGGUUGUGGAGCAGAGGGUUGAGCACCAUCUGUGCCACUAGCAUACCAUAUGAGAGUUCAAGUCCCGAUGCUCCACUUCUGAUCCAGUUCUCUACUGGUUAUUCUGGGAAGGCAAUAGAAGAUGGCCCAAGUAUUUGGGCCCUUGCAACCCAGUUAAAGUUUUAUUAGCUCCUGGCUUCAGCCUGGCCCAGUCCUGGAUGUUGUAGCCAUUUGGGGAGUAAACCAGCAGAUGCAAGAUCUCUCUCUUUUUUUUUAAAGAUUUAUUUAUUUAUUUGAAAGUCAGAGUUACACAGAAGGAGGAGAGGCAGAGAGAGAGAGAGAGAGAGAGAGAGAGAGAGGUCUUCCAUCUGAUGGUUCACUCCCCAAUUGGCCACAACAGCUGGAGCUGCGCCAAUCCGAAGCCAGGAGCCAGGAGCUUCCUCCGGGUCUCCCAUGUGGGUGCAGGGGCCCAAGGACUUGGGCCAUCUUCCACUGCUUUCCCAGGCCAUAGCAGAGAACUGGAUUGGAAGUGGAGCAGCCAGGUGUUGAACCAGUGGCCAUAUGGGAUGCCGGCGCUUCAGGCAAGGGCGUUAACACACUGUGCAACAGCGUUAGCCCCACAAGAUCUCUUUCUGUCUCUCUCGGAUGCUCUGUCUUUCAAAUAAAUAAAUAAACCUAAAAAAAAGAAAAAACAAUUGGGACCUACACAACAAGAAGAAAGUCAUGGGAGAUACAGUUGAAAAGCAGAGAGCAGAGUGAGGGGGAAAACCUUGCAAGGCAGGAGUAAACUUGGGGUAUUAAAAACAGAAAAAUAGCGAAGGUUAGUAUACCAGGUUGGGAUGAACAAGUCAUAGAGGAAAGCAGAAGACCAAGUCAUGGGAAGCUUAGGGUGCUAUCAAAAAAUACAAAUUGUAUUUUAAGUGAAACGGGAUGCCACUGAAGGGAAUUAACAUAGGGAGCAGUUCAAGUUUUGUUUUCCAAAGCUCACACAAACCUCUGCGUGGAUGGUUCUUUAUAGGAAAGUCACGGGGAAAUGAAGAAGCCAGUAAGGACCCCUUUUUAGCUUUUAGAAUAGAGAUGGCUAGAGCUUGCUUGGAUUAGGCUGGAGCAAUCUCUAUUAGGUAUUAAAUUUGGGGAAAAAAAAAACAACAACAUGCAACUUCAGCCGUGACAGCAUCAAGAAUCCUAAUUCUAAUGGGUCACACAGAAAAAGAUCAUAUGGCUUUACUGUAGCUUAGGAAAUACUGGUAGUUAAUUCAGCAGAGAAAUCUUUUGUUUUCAUUUUCCAGAGCUUGAGAGGGAAAAUACAAAUUUAACAAUUAAAAGUAUUUAAAAUAUUAAAAUAUAUUUUUAAAAUAUGCAUAACACAUAAAUGUUUCUUUUGCUCUAAAAUACAUUUUAACAAAAUGUUAGAAUAAAAAUUAUAUAUAUGACUUGCAUUAUAUUUCUAUUGUUAGAGGUACUUUAAAACAUUACAGGAGGCACUUUAUAGUUAUAGGUACUAAACCAUUGUUAUAGGUACUCUAUUGUUAGAGCUACUUUAAAACAUUCCUUGGACAGGUGGGAUAUGUCUUUGUUUUUUAAUCAGAAAGAAUGACUUUGCCUCCCUAUGUUCUUGAGGGCAGUGGCCAGCACUUCCCUGUCUUCAGGGGUCAGACAAUAUCCCAUUCCCUAGUUUGAAAAUCUCAUUUUGGGUCCUAAAAUUAUAUUUCAUUCAACUUUCUCAGUUAAUUUGAAGUAAUGUUAUGUGUAUAUACUUCACAUCCUACUGUGUGGCAUAGUAGGCUAAGCUUCUGCCUAUUGUGCCAGCAUCCCAUAUGGGGGCUGCUGCUCCACUUCCGAUUCAGCUCUCUGCUAUGGCCUCGGAAAGCAGUGGAAGAUGGCCCAAGUCCUUGGGCCCCUACACCCAUGUGGGAGACCCAGAAGAAGCUCCUGGCUCCUAGCUUUGGAUCAGCACAGCUCUGGCCAUUGCGGCCAUUUGGCAAGUGAACCAGAAGGUGGAAGACCUUUCUUUCUGUCUGUUACUCUACCUCUCAAAUAAAUAAAUAAAACCUUAAAAAAAUCCACAUUACAGGAGAAAAGAAAAUGAGUUUUGUUCAUUUUGAAAUAACUGUAUUUAUGCUUUAUUUUGUGGCUAAGUCUGUACCACUACAAAUACAGCUGCUUUUACAGAUUUUUCUUUGUUUUUGAUACACUAUAGUUUUACUACAAUAUGGCUCCCUGUAGGUCUAUUUUUAGUUACUCUGCAGAAUAUUUGGUGGGCUUGUUUUCAUAUGUCUUAAAUUUGGGGAAAUUCUUUUAUCAUUAGCUCUUUUAAUAAUGAUUCUCCCCUUUUCUUUCAGCAAAGUGCUGUGGAUAUUUUGUACUUUCUUUCUAGCCUACAUACCUCUUAAUUAUCUUUCUUUUACUUUUUCUUUUCUAUGUGCUGAAUUAUGCAUG
Molecule: non-coding RNA, 12857 nt
Organism: Oryctolagus cuniculus (rabbit)
Lineage: Eukaryota; Metazoa; Chordata; Mammalia; Lagomorpha; Leporidae
Source: RefSeq, a predicted model, not a curated record